UCUUGUCUCAAAGAUUAAGCCGUGCAAGUCUUAGUACACACAGCCGGUACAGUGAAACGUCAAAUGGGUCAUUAAAUCAGUUACGGUUCCUUUGAUUGCUCAAACGUUACUUGGAUGACUGCAGCAGUUAUAGAGCUAAUAAAUGUCUACGGGUGCUGACCUUUGGGGAUGCGGCACUUAUUCAGACCCAUGCAGGCGACUCUCGGGCACCACAAACACUUAUUCAGACCCAUGCAGGGUACUCUCAGGCACCACAAACACUUAUUCAGACCCAUGCAGGGUACUCUCGGGCACCACAAACACUUAUUCAUACCCAUGCAGGGUACUCUCGGGCACCACAAACACUUUUGGUGACUCUAACUUCGACUGGUGACGUCUAAUUUGAAUGUCUGCCCUAUCAACUUUCAAUGGUACUUUCUGUGCCUACCAUGGUGACAGGGAAUCCGGGUUAGAUUCCAGGGAGGGAGCCUAAGAAACAGCUACCACAUCCAGGGAAGGAAACAGGCGGGCAAAUGACCCACUCCGACUCGGAGAGGUAGUGACGAAAAAUAACAAUACAGGACUCGAGGCCCUUCAGUUGGAAUGUGUACAUUUUAAAUUCUUUAAUGAUCCAUUACUUAUGGGUAGA
RNAcentral lists this non-coding RNA (628 nucleotides) under Salmo salar (Atlantic salmon). Its description in RNAcentral is "Eukaryotic small subunit ribosomal RNA". It matches the Rfam family "Eukaryotic small subunit ribosomal RNA", at positions 31 to 559 of the family's 1831-position model. Lineage: Eukaryota; Metazoa; Chordata; Actinopteri; Salmoniformes; Salmonidae. The record is from Rfam by way of RNAcentral.